AUGAACGCUGGCGGCGUGCCUAAUCCAUGCCAGUCGAGCGAACAGAUGAGGAGCUUGCUCCUCUGACGUUAGCGGCGGACGGGUGAGUAACACGUGGAUAACCUACCUAUAAGACUGGGAUAACUUCGGGAAACCGGAGCUAAUACCGGAUAAUAUAUUGAACCGCCUGGUUCAAUAGUGAAAGACGGUUUUGCUGUCACUUAUAGAUGGAUCCGCGCCGCAUUAGCUAGUUGGUAAGGUAACGGCUUACCAAGGCAACGAUGCGUAGCCGACCUGAGAGGGUGAUCGGCCACACUGGAACUGAGACACGGUCCAGACUCCUACGGGAGGCAGCAGUAGGGAAUCUUCCGCAAUGGGCGAAAGCCUGACGGAGCAACGCCGCGUGAGUGAUGAAGGUCUUCGGAUCGUAAAACUCUGUUAUUAGGGAAGAACAAAUGUGUAAGUAACUAUGCACGUCUUGACGGUACCUAAUCAGAAAGCCACGGCUAACUACGUG
This 496-nucleotide ribosomal RNA is filed under the name uncultured bacterium. Its description in RNAcentral is "partial 16S ribosomal RNA". It matches the Rfam family "Bacterial small subunit ribosomal RNA", at positions 29 to 507 of the family's 1533-position model. The record is from RNAcentral.